AGAAACUGAGACCCAGAAGAGAGGGAUUCUCCUUAACUAGUCAUGGGCAUGACAGAGCCUGCAGGUGAGAUGCGAUCCUGCCCGUGCCCAUUCCCUUUGUGGGUGGGGCUCCCAGUGGAGUCUUCCCUGUGUGGGGAUCUCCUGGAGAAAGGGCCGUCUUGUACUCUCCUGCUUUGCCUGGCACAGGAAGCCAUCUUUCCCACGCUGACCCUUUCAUUCUCCUAAGACCGGACAAGCUGUUGGAUCUCUUAGGUCUGGUACCUGCAGACCAGGAGGACACAUUUACUGACCUGAAGCACAAAGCCAGCUUUGCAGCUCUGAGGAGCGGCUCUAUUUUCACCCACCGGUGAGCUUGUAGAAACUGCGGUUUAGUUCACGUAAGGCUGAGAUAGAGCACCAUGAUUGCAGGCACGUCUUGGCCUGGGAUGGAGUGGACUCGGGUCUCCGCUCUCCUAUGAAUUGUUACCUCUCUGUUCUCUCAACCUGCAGAGUGGGGUUGAUGAUCUGUGUGUUGCCAUAGUUGUGAGUAUGUCUAGUCUGAUCCUUUCCCCACAACGAAAGCCAGGACUGUUGAAGACAUGACCACAAGAUUCUACAACUAUAAAGUAACAGUCAAUAUAGGAAGGCGUGUAAAUACAAGACAAUAAAAACCACUCGCAGCUGUACUCUGAAAAUGUUUGCAUCUCCUUCUCCCUAUAUCAACGCUUUAGUUACAUGGUCAAUUUAAACUAAUUUGGAGAUUUGCCCUGGCUUGAACCUCUAGAGGCCUCUUCAUCCUCCUAGGUUGGAGGUAGGUAGUGCCAGGCAGCUGCAACAGCUCCAUGACGUACGUCGUGGAGAGGACCAGAUUGGUCCUUGGGGCACUGGCUCCCCUCCCCAUGCCCAGGAUACUGAGCUCUGCCCAGGUGUCUCGUUCCAGCAGCAGGAGGGAGGAGCUCUGCUACAGCCCUGCAGGGCCUUGAGCUUUCUUUCAGAAUUUAUUCAGAUGACCGAAUCUUUAAGAGUGGCCAGGAAAUGUCAUCUUCUAACUAGACAUAUUGCCUAAGGUUUGUUACUAAGGAAGGGCAAAGUAUUUUGAGAAGCAGCUAGUCAUUUCUCAUAAGUAGGAACAUAGCUAGGUACAGUGACACAUGCCUGUGAUCUCAGUGACUUAGAAGCUGAGGCUGGAGGAUCACAAGUUUAGGGCUAGCCUGGGCAACUUAACAAGACCCUGUGUUGAAGUAAAAAAUUAUAAAGACUUGGGGAUAUAGCCAGUGGUAAAAACCCCCUGGUUCAAGAAACAAAAACCAAUAGAAACAUAAAAAUGAAUGACUUCUAAAGCUGGCCAUGGGCACAAACUUAUAGUCCCCACUACGUGGGAGGCUGAGGCAG
This 1371-nucleotide long non-coding RNA is filed under the name Marmota monax (woodchuck). The record is from RNAcentral. Lineage: Eukaryota; Metazoa; Chordata; Mammalia; Rodentia; Sciuridae.